CAUGGCCAGUCAGUCUCAGGGGAUCCAGUAGCUGCUGCAGGUUGCUGAAAAGGGUGUCUGAGACCUGCAGUGAAAGAACCGGAGGGAGAAGCAGGCCAAAGCAGCAGUUCAAGGUGAAAUUGAACAAUAUUGCCUGCAGAGGGAGAAAGAGUUCAAGGCCAAGGAGGCUGCUGCCCUGCGAUCCCAAGGCAGCUGCAGCAUUAAAGUAGAGGAGACCCAGGAGAAGAGAACCAUCUGGAAGCAGUUUAGGCAGAAGAGGGGUGAAGUCUUGGCCUUUUUCUGCAAUAUCUGGUAGUCCAUUCCUGCUAGUGGUUAGAACAAUGAACACUAGUAU
RNAcentral lists this long non-coding RNA (334 nucleotides) under Homo sapiens (human). Its description in RNAcentral is "non-protein coding lnc-SCAMP1-11:1". The record is from RNAcentral. Lineage: Eukaryota; Metazoa; Chordata; Mammalia; Primates; Hominidae.